AGGGGUGGGGAUACAAAUUCCAGAAGAAAACAGACUUAAAAAACAUAACUGUAACUUAAGAACCAACUUUUGGGUCCAGUGGUAUCCCCAGAGCCACCCUUUUCCACCAGUCCUAGGACAGAAGUGAAUUUCCUGCUGGGAGGACACAGUGCACAAGACAACAGUUGUGUGCAGUAGUUACACAGCACAGCUCAAUGAAACUUAAGAGGGUAUUUUUUCCUUAGGUAUAAUGGAGAUUGUCAGUUCUUCAGCCAACUUUCUCUCCAGCUUUCUCAUCUUCCUCUUGCUUGAGACACAUACACUGGCUUCAGAGCGAUUUUCAGUGAUUGGACCUACAGAACCCAUCCAGGCUUGGGUAGGAAGAAAGGCAGACCUACCAUGUUACCUGUCUCCCCAAAAAAAUGCUCAAGCCAUGAAGGUGAUUUGGUUCCAAUCUCUGGAUAUAGUGCAUUACUAUGAGGAUGGGCAGGAUAAGUUUGACAAUCAAAGCCCUAAAUUCCAAGGGAGGACAGAGCUGGUGAAAGAUGCCAUCACUAGAGGAAAUGUCACCCUGAGGAUAUGGAACAUUACAGCCUCAGACCAAGGACACUACAAAUGCCAUUUUGAUGAUGGUUUGUAUCAAGAAGAAGCUGGUAUAGAACUACUUGUCUCAGAACAUUGUCUCCAGGACCUUCCCUGGGUGCUGUAUAUGAAUGGGAUCAUAAUUGUGACUUCUGCAUUUGAAAUUAUCAUUGCCAUUUGUCAUCUGUGGAUGAUGCAGACCUGUGAAGGAUAUAUUCACGGAGAGAAUUGGAAAUGUAUGAACUUAUUCAUUUGGAUGAUCUUCCUGUCCUUCGCUUCUGUUAGACUUGUGAUUCAAUUCUACUUGCCAUCUACCUAAUUCUGAAAUAUGCGGAUCAUUUCUUCCUGCUCCUGGGCCACUGAAAAGAUGGGUGAAGCAUAUCAUGCAGUAUCAUGCAUGUGCUGAUUUUACUACUGAAGUGUGACUCUCCCGACCAAAAAAAGUACUUCUCCUCCUGGUGGAUAAUAAAAUUUCUUCAGUGACAAAAGAAAUUCUUUUUCAGCCUUACUUAUUUCCUGUGAAUGGUGAGCCUGAGGAAGUUUGCCCUCCAGUGUGUGUCUACUUACCUCAAGUCUUGUCCCACUCAAAUUCACCAUUCACUUACCUAUCAAAACGAUCUUCCUAAAAUUUAGUGGUCAGUGACUUAGCCCUUACCCAGGUUUAUCAUUCACUCACCUGUAUGUUAAAUAUUUGAAACAAUGCAUCAAAUGUUUAUUAAGUACCUACUAUAUAGAGCAUCAUCCUAUAUUUAGUCUAACCCAUAACCAAAAAGAAACUCAUUCUACAAUAUCACUGAAAAGUGGCCAUCAACUGGAAUACUGUGCUGAAAAGAAUAAUGAACUGGAGUAAAUCCAUGUGAACUGGAACGACCUCCAGGAAGUGAUGCAGAGUGAAAGGACCAGAACCAGGAGAACAUUGUACACAGAGACUGAUACACUGUGGUACAAUCAAAUGUAAUGGACUUCUCUACUAGCAGCAAUGCAAUGAUCCAGGACAAUUCUGAGUAACUUAUGAUAAAGAACAUCAUCCAUAUCUAGAGGAAGAACUGUGUAAACAGAAAUUCAUUAGAAAAAUAUGUGAUUACAUUGUGAUAGGGAUAUGAUUGGAGUUUUGAUGUUAAAGGAUCUCUCUACUGCAGAUAUGAAUAACACAGAAAUGGGUUUUGAAUAAUGAUACAUGUAUAACCCAGUGGAACUGCUUGUUGGAUUCAGGAGGGGGGAAAGAAGAUGGGUGAGGGGGAUGAUGAAUUAUGUAACUAUGGGAAAAUAUUCUAAAUUUAAAAAGGAAAAAAAGUGGCCAUCAACCCUCCACUUAAAGAGACCUGGUAAGGGAGAACUUUAUUUUUUACUUCCUGAGGCAAUCCACCCCACUUUUAGAGAGUUUUCAAGGUGAGGAAGAUUGUUUGUUGACAGCAGUUCCAAGCCUGAAAUGUAUGAAGCCAGACAAUGUUGCAUAUGAGUGGCAAGCCUUUAACAAAAAGGAUUUGAAGGAAGAAAACAUAGGAUUUAUUAUUUGUGUAUAUAGGUAUAGAAUUGGGGGUUUUGGUUUUAAAAGAUGACUCAAUUGCAAAAAUGAAUAAUGAGGAAAUGGGAUUUGAGUGAUAAUAUAUGUAUAACCCAGUGAAAUGGAUUGUCACCACCUGGAGGGGAGAGGGAAAGGGGGAGGGAGACAAGAAGAAUCAGGGAACCAUGGAAAAAAUUUAAAAAUUUAUAUAUAUGUGUGUGUGUUCAUUAUUGAGUUAAAAAAGGGGGGGGGAGGGAGCAGUUUGCGGAGGAAGCAAUAGCCUUGAUUUGACUCCAUCUGGGCUUUUAUUCAGGCCUCCCCCUACUCAUUCAUUUAGUUGGCAGACCCUAAGGUUUGAGGAGCUUAAGGAAAGCUGCAGUGCCUCAGACCUACAUAACCCCUUCACCAAUAUGUCAGAAUUUGGCUAGCUGAAAUAGUUUGAGGAAGACAUUGACAAGAUGUCUAGGGUGUAGAAGAAAUCUGAGAUGAGUAACUCUGAAUUCCUGAUAUAAGAAGAUAGGUUGAAAGAAGGAUGCAUAUUUAGCCUGGAGAAAAGAAGACUCAAGAGGGGCAGGAUAACUGAGUUUAACUGUAUUAAGGGCUGUCUUGUGGAGAAGGAAUUAGAUUUCUUUUUGACCUUAGUAGGGCAGAGCUAGUAGUAAUGAGUGGAAAAUGCAAAGAAGCCAAUUCAGACUUGACAUAAGGAAAAACAUCCUUACUGAACAUCCUUAAUGAAAGUGAAGUGGGCUACCUCAACAGGAGGCAGGGUUCCCUUCUUCAGAGGUAUUCAAGCAGAGAUUAUACAACCACUCAUCAGGUAUGUUAUAGUGAGAUUCUUUUACAUAUGGGUUGAAUCUAGAUUAGAAAUUUUUAGUUGUUUUGAUGCCAUGGAACCUUUUGGCAGUAGAGUGAAACCAAUGGAUUUCUUUCCACGAUAAUGAGAUUGAAUGCAUAAAAUACAUAGGAAUACAAAUAUAGCCAAUUAUUUUUUUCCUGUAAUUCAGUCAUUUUCAGUCAUAUCCAAGCCUUUGUGACCUCAUUUGAGUUUCUCUUGCAAAGAUACUGACAUAGAUUGCCAUUUCCUUCUCCAGUUCAUUUUACAGAUGAGAAAACAGAGACAAACAAGGUUAAGUGACUUGCCAAGGAUCAGACAAUUAAUAAGUGUCUGAGGCCAGAUUUGAAAUCAGAUCUUCCUAACCCCCACACCUGGUACUCUAACCACCAACUAACUCCCCUUGGCCUAGAUAGAUGCUCAAGUCCCUUCCAACUCUCAAAUUCUGAGAUUCUGUGGAUGCAGGUUGACAAUCAAGAAUUGACCACAAUUAAGGGAAUUUUCUAACCCUAAAUCAGAUAAAAGUUUAAAGUGAAUAAUCAGAUCCUCCAAAGGAAAGUGAAUUUAAAUGAGAACUAAAAGUCUAUGGGCUAUAAGCUGACUGCCUGGUCUAAAUUCCAAGAGGAGUUAGGUCCUAGCAUCUCAGAGCUGAUAACCCUCUCUCUUGAUGAAGAAAAACUGCUUGUCCUCAGUACAAUAACUUGGUUUUGGCAUGGGCAUCAUACCUCCAGAAACCCAGGCAAACUAUUGUCAGGGAAAUUCCUUUUCUCCCUUACAUCCUCCUGACUCAGAACCAAAAAUAUCUAAUACCUCCUCUAAAACUCUGAGAGGAUUAUCCUCCCUGGAUUGUCCUUUAGAUUUAAGAUGGACAGAGAGAUGCACCUCCAGGCUACACCUCAAUACCAUUGGGCUGUAUCUUGGACAUCCAUCUGUUCCCUAAACUAAAGAAUCUUUUAUGAGGGUCAUCCCCUAUGUCUCCCUGCAGGCCCCAGUCAGAUGACCAACCCCCCCCAUUGAAUGCCUGAGGGUUCACCACUCCAGAGGCACCUCCUCACCAUGACACAGCAUCAUGUCCUCACGGUUGUAAAGAGUAUAUAAUCCCCACAAUUGAUUGUGAAGGGAGCAGCCUUCCUUCUUGCUGUUCUACCUGUAUUAUCCUCCGGGCCAUUCUCAACAUUACUUUCUAAAUUAAUAAAUUUCUCUUUUUAUAUUUAUGCUAAGUUUCAGAGUCUUGCAUUCCUUCAAAAGGUAUCCUUCCCAAAUGCCAGGGGUUCACCUCUGUACCCCACAACAGUUUGGACAUGCCUUUCUUGAUAAGAUAAUUCAAACUCAAAUUCUGCAGUAAAAUCCAGGGGACAGAUGACAGAAUCAAUUGCUUUUCUUUUUAAGAGGUAGCAUCUCAAAUAAAAUUUGUGUGAAUUAAAUAUCUGGGGGAACUCCAACCCAGUCCAAUUCCAGAAUGACUCACCAUAGGAAUCUCCGACUCAUGUGCCUGAUGGUGUAUGGCAUGACAGAGGCCAGGAGGCAUGAUAUAUGAAGGUGGUCCGUGAAAGGGUCUGGGGGAGGAGUUUGGACAAGGUUUGAAAAGUAAAUGCAGGAAGCUCACCAGCCUCUUUGGCCUUUUUGCUCCCAGCCCUCUCCAUGAUCCAGUUCUCUCUCUAACUGUCCCUGUUGGCAUUUAUCUUGCUUGCAAUCUUUGGCAAGAGGCAGCAGAGAGGGAACUACGUCAAGCUGAAAUCCAGGACCAGAUCUUACUUUUAAGUUAGAAAGGCUGGAAACUUUAUUUCUCCCCUUCUUUCUCUUUAUUAAUAAAUACUUAUAAAUUUAGUAUAUAAUUUUUGUUUAUAAGUAGCAGUAGUGAGAAUUUAGUAGAAAGGAAAAGGAAAUGGAGAAUAAAAGAGAUAAAAGACAGGUCCAGCAGAAUAAUGCAAUAAUAGAAUAAAAAAAAAAUACUGACCUACCCACUAUAGCCAUGUCUUCCCUAUGAAAUGCCCUUCUAUUUGUGGGCCCUAAAGACACACAUAUGCUUCCUAACGUAUGAUAUCUAAUAGUAUCAUCUGUUCUCAAUGAUGGUGUGUAUAUAUCUGUUGAAGAAUAUAUCCAAUGUUUACUGAAAUAAUAUUCUACUGAUACUUUUAUAUCUAUGUUAUUUCAUUAAAGUAUGUUGCUUUGAGUUAAUUGUGUAUGUGUCUGGCAAGUGAAAGUAAAAAACAUCAGUAAAGGCUUGUGAGCUAUGAUUUGAAGAGAGUGUGGACCCACAGAA
Monodelphis domestica (gray short-tailed opossum) is the source of this 5160-nucleotide non-coding RNA. Lineage: Eukaryota; Metazoa; Chordata; Mammalia; Didelphimorphia; Didelphidae. The record is from RefSeq and is a predicted model, not a curated record.